RNAcentral lists this ribosomal RNA (401 nucleotides) under uncultured bacterium. RNAcentral describes it as "bacterial SSU rRNA". It matches the Rfam family "Bacterial small subunit ribosomal RNA", at positions 356 to 774 of the family's 1533-position model. The record is from RNAcentral.
CGGGAAUUUUGGGCAAUGGGCGAAAGCCUGACCCAGCAACGCCGCGUGAGGGAUGAAGUAUUUCGGUAUGUAAACCUCGAAAGAAUGGGAAGAAUAAAUGAUGGUACCAUUUAUAAGCUCCGGCUAACUACGUGCCAGCAGCCGCGGUAAUACGUAGGGAGCAAGCGUUGUUCGGAUUUACUGGGCGUAAAGGGCGCGUAGGCGGCGCGGUAAGUCACUUGUGAAAUCUCUGAGCUUAACUCAUAACGGCCAAGUGAUACUGCUGUGCUAGAGUGAGGAAGAGGCAACCGGAAUUCUUGGUGUAGCGGUGAAAUGCGUAGACAUCAAGAGGAACACCUGAGGCGAAGGCGGGUUGCUGGGCCGACACUGACGCUGAUGCGCGAAAGCCAGGGGAGCAAACG